This 497-nucleotide ribosomal RNA is filed under the name uncultured bacterium. Its description in RNAcentral is "partial 16S ribosomal RNA". It matches the Rfam family "Bacterial small subunit ribosomal RNA", at positions 28 to 507 of the family's 1533-position model. The record is from RNAcentral.
GAUGAACGCUGGCGGCGUGCCUAAUACAUGCAAGUCGAGCGAACGGACGAGAAGCUUGCUUCUCUGAUGUUAGCGGCGGACGGGUGAGUAACACGUGGAUAACCUACCUAUAAGACUGGGAUAACUUCGGGAAACCGGAGCUAAUACCGGCUAAUAUUUUGAACCGCAUGGUUCAAAAUUGAAAGACGGUUUUGCUGUAACUUAUAGAUGGAUCCGCGCUGCAUUAGCUAGUUGGUAAGGUAACGGCUUACCAAGGCAACGAUGCAUAGCCGACCUGAGAGGGUGAUCGGCCACACUGGAACUGAGACACGGUCCAGACUCCUACGGGAGGCAGCAGUAGGGAAUCUUCCGCAAUGGGCGAAAGCCUGACGGAGCAACGCCGCGUGAGUGAUGAAGGUCUUCGGAUCGUAAAACUCUGUUAUUAGGGAAGAACAUAUGUGUAAGUAACUGUGCACAUCUUGACGGUACCUAAUCAGAAAGCCACGGCUAACUACGUG